GAUGAACGCUGGCGGCGUGCCUAAUACAUGCAAGUCGAGCGAACAGACGAGGAGCUUGCUCCUCUGACGUUAGCGGCGGACGGGUGAGUAACACGUGGAUAACCUACCUAUAAGACUGGGAUAACUUCGGGAAACCGGAGCUAAUACCGGAUAAUAUAUUGAACCGCAUGGUUCAAUAGUGAAAGACGGUUUUGCUGUCACUUAUAGAUGGAUCCGCGCCGCAUUAGCUAGUUGGUAAGGUAACGGCUUACCAAGGCGACGAUGCGUAGCCGACCUGAGAGGGUGAUCGGCCACACUGGAACUGAGCCACGGUCCAGACUCCUACGGGAGGCAGCAGUAGGGAAUCUUCCGCAAUGGGCGAAAGCCUGACGGAGCAACGCCGCGUGAGUGAUGAAGGUCUUCGGAUCGUAAAACUCUGUUAUUAGGGAAGAACAAAUGUGUAAGUAACUAUGCACGUCUUGACGGUACCUAAUCAGAGAGCCACGGCUAACUACGUG
RNAcentral lists this ribosomal RNA (497 nucleotides) under uncultured bacterium. Its description in RNAcentral is "partial 16S ribosomal RNA". It matches the Rfam family "Bacterial small subunit ribosomal RNA", at positions 28 to 507 of the family's 1533-position model. The record is from RNAcentral.